This 879-nucleotide ribosomal RNA is filed under the name Staphylococcus aureus. RNAcentral describes it as "partial 23S ribosomal RNA". It matches the Rfam family "Bacterial large subunit ribosomal RNA", at positions 331 to 1213 of the family's 2925-position model. Lineage: Bacteria; Bacillati; Bacillota; Bacilli; Caryophanales; Staphylococcaceae. The record is from RNAcentral.
AGACGAAUCAUCUGGAAAGAUGAAUCAAAGAAGGUAAUAAUCCUGUAGUCGAAAAUGUUGUCUCUCUUGAGUGGAUCCUGAGUACGACGGAGCACGUGAAAUUCCGUCGGAAUCUGGGAGGACCAUCUCCUAAGGCUAAAUACUCUCUAGUGACCGAUAGUGAACCAGUACCGUGAGGGAAAGGUGAAAAGCACCCCGGAAGGGGAGUGAAAUAGAACCUGAAACCGUGUGCUUACAAGUAGUCAGAGCCCGUUAAUGGGUGAUGGCGUGCCUUUUGUAGAAUGAACCGGCGAGUUACGAUUUGAUGCAAGGUUAAGCAGUAAAUGUGGAGCCGUAGCGAAAGCGAGUCUGAAUAGGGCGUUUAGUAUUUGGUCGUAGACCCGAAACCAGGUGAUCUACCCUUGGUCAGGUUGAAGUUCAGGUAACACUGAAUGGAGGACCGAACCGACUUACGUUGAAAAGUGAGCGGAUGAACUGAGGGUAGCGGAGAAAUUCCAAUCGAACCUGGAGAUAGCUGGUUCUCUCCGAAAUAGCUUUAGGGCUAGCCUCAAGUGAUGAUUAUUGGAGGUAGAGCACUGUUUGGACGAGGGGCCCCUCUCGGGUUACCGAAUUCAGACAAACUCCGAAUGCCAAUUAAUUUAACUUGGGAGUCAGAACAUGGGUGAUAAGGUCCGUGUUCGAAAGGGAAACAGCCCAGACCACCAGCUAAGGUCCCAAAAUAUAUGUUAAGUGGAAAAGGAUGUGGCGUUGCCCAGACAACUAGGAUGUUGGCUUAGAAGCAGCCAUCAUUUAAAGAGUGCGUAAUAGCUCACUAGUCGAGUGACACUGCGCCGAAAAUGUACCGGGGCUAAACAUAUUACCGAAGCUGUGGAUUGUCCU